This is a long non-coding RNA of Manis pentadactyla (Chinese pangolin), 14020 nucleotides long. RefSeq lists it as uncharacterized. The record is from RefSeq and is a predicted model, not a curated record. Lineage: Eukaryota; Metazoa; Chordata; Mammalia; Pholidota; Manidae. The transcript is spliced from 3 exons.
GAGAAGUGACUGAUGGUUACCACAGCAGAGGGGUUGGGGUGAGUGGGUGAAAUAGGUGAAGGGGAUAGAGGCACAAAAUCUCAAUCAUGAUAUAAAUUACUCACAGGGAUGAAAGUACAGCAUAGAGAAUAUAGUCAAUAAUUCAGUAACAUCUCUUUCUAUGUUGAUGGACAGUAACUACACCAGUUGGGGCGAGCAUCUAAUAAUGGAGAUAACUGUUGAAUCACUAUGUUUUAUACUUGAAACCAAUUUAAAAAAUUUUUAAUUAAAAACUAAGGCCUUAUGACAGUAAAUAACUUGCCCACAGUCACACAGCUAUUAAAUGACAGAAGGACUCUGGCCCAGCCUAACUCCAAAGUCUGAGUGUAAGCACUACACCCUACUCCCUUUCACAUUCAUUCAUUCAAACUUUUAUUACCUGCCUUAGAGCGGGUCAAGCACUUUGCUAAAGCCUUGGUGUAAAGAGACAAAAAAAAAAAAAAAAGGCAGUCUCCAUCCUCAAGAAACUUACAUCUUGUACACACCAAAAAAUGUAAAAUGCUAAUUAAACCAACAAGUUCAGGACAGCAAUUCUGGUUAAGUGAAUCAUCUAGAGAAAAUCUAAGAUACUGCAUUGAAAAGGAUUUAUAAUACUCCUCAUCUGUAUAUUUGUUGGAAGCUACAUAUUUGAUCUUUGUAAUUAACCUUGUGAAGCAGAUAGGGCAUUCUCAUGCUCAUUUCAUAGAUAAGAAACAGAUAAAGGCAUGCUGUCCUAAACAGCUUAGCAAAGAUGCCACAUCCCUUCUUAGGGUGUCUGCCCCAUGCACAGAAUCUUCUGCUGUUCAAAAAAAAAUAUGUUUGUGGUCAAAUCAUGGGCUCUUGGGGCAGUUCAAAAAGAUGAACUGGGCAAAACUGAUCCCCUUUCAAAAAUUUAAAUUACAAAACAGAGAGAUGGGUCCAUUUACUAUGAGAUAUAAGAUGAUAGUGGAUAGAGGACAGAGCCUGAAAUGGUGAGAUUAGAAAGCAGGUGGGCAGAAAAGAAUUGAGGCUCAAGGAGACAGCAGACAUGUCACAUGACCAGUCUUUGAGGGAAGAAGACAGAUAAUCGUUCCUUUCCCUAUGACCCAGAUGCCUGUGAUAAACCUCAUUUUCCCUACAGACACUUAAGGUUUUUUGGAAAAGCAACUUCCAAAUAGCACGCAUACAAGAAAUGACACUUCACACUCUCAACACACAAAUUCAGACACAUAGUGAACUUGAGUAUGAAAAAAGACUCCAGCUGUUAUAACUGGCCACACAGGUUUCGUCUCCAUGGUUUCUGUUUACUUCUUGUAAAAAAAAAAAGGAUAACAUUGGCCUGCUCAUAGCAACAAACAUUAAAGUCACAAGAGUGUGUCUUCAGAAUUAUCCAGGGAUCAUCCCUUCUCCUCCCUCUGCCCUAAUCCUCUCCCAAAACCUUUAUUCAUCCCCAGGCUCCUCAAAUAAGGAGACUUCUUAUUCUCUAUCACCUCUUAUCAAAAGAAGAAAGCUAUUAAGUAUCAACACUGGCUAAAACUUUUACAACAAACCAUUUCAUCUCAGAUUUUGUGUAUCAUUUGUAUGACAUGAGGACAGAAAUCACGGAGAAGAGUGUCCCAGAGAAGACGGACAUGGCGCCUAGCCCAGCACACCUCCUUCCCCAAACCAAGUAUGGAGGUCAUGCUGUUAACCUUCCCCACUCUCCACCCCAAGCAACAGCCUGAAAGCCUCAAGUUUCUGCAGUUCCAAGCUCUCUCACAGUGACAACAGUAGGGUGACGAGCAGAGAGGCUUCUCAGGACCCCGUGGGCAGAACUGAAUCAAGCAGCAGGAGGAGAGAGAAGGCAGCCAAAGGCAGUGAGUCCUCACAGAUCCAUGUCCAUGGAGCACAGGGAACUUCCACGCCUGACAUGUUCAACCUUAGCCUGAAGGAUACAGCAUCCUUUUUCUAAUGUGUGAAUGAUGCUUAUGUAAACAACUAAUGAGUAAUUUAAAAAUAAGAGGAAAAAAACGUUCAUCUUGGUGGACCUAUUACUAAAAACUGUUUAGGCCUAAUUGCCAUGCAAUCCAGUAGCAAUCAUUUGCAUCAUUAAAUGUAUCAAUUUUCAUGAGUUCAUUUUGCUGCAACACUCUUAAAAACAUGACAAAUAUUAAGAACUUAAAACAUAAAAAGAACAAUCACAAACCUUUAUGCACAAGCCCCACUUGGAAAAGAGAGACAAGGGUGGACAGCACGGGUGGACAGUGAAGGAAGUUUAAGUGCGCCACGAAGAACCAGACAAGUUUUCAGCAGGUUGUUUUUUUUUUUUCUGGGGUGAGGUGGAGCGAGGGGGGGUUUCUUAAGAUUUAUAAAUCCUUACACUGGUAAAUACAAACUUAAUAUAAGUUACAUGAAGAUAACUUUCAACAGGCCCACAAAAAUCACAGGUCUCACAGAGGAGGGAGAUUAAAAGGCAAAUAGCACAUAACUCUAAAUAAGGGUAAGGCUGGCCCGGUUGGAACAUAGGGUGCGUCUUAACAAUACCAGUGAAAAGUAUGGAUAAGGCUUCUACUACACAGCAAAGAAAAUAAGAGGGAAAUAAGUGAAAGGGGAAAAUAUUUGAAGCUCAGUUUUGGACAUACAACUUGAGAACAUCUUUUUUGAAAGGAACAUAGAGGGAAGAAUGUGGUGGUCUUAUUCCCUACAUAAAACUAACCUGUGGUUAUUCUUAUCCCCCUUUCACUCCAGCAGUCUUACCCACCUAAAUGACUGGCAUUGCAUAAGCCAAACCUUGCAACAAUCUUCAGUUCUCAGUGGCUCACAUAUCAUAACCAUCAGGAAAUCCUAAAGGGUCUGCCUUCAAAAUAUUUUGCCACUUACCACCUCUACUUCUCAAACAACUGGAACCUUGGCCAAAGCCACCAUCGCCUUUACUUUCUGAGUAGCGUCCCAACUACUACAGUCUACAAUCAACACAACAGCCAAACGACCUUUUGAAACCAAAAUAUGGUCUAUUCCUCCCAUGUUCAAAACCCUCCCAACUCACUGGCUUUCCAUCUUACUUGGAGCAAAAGUUAAAUUCCUCAGAAGGUCCACAAAGCUAUUAGAUCUACCUGUCUACCUGGUUUUCUCCUCCUACUCUAUUCCCACUACUCCAGCCAUGCUGGACUCUUUGCUCCUCUGGGUGCUUGCUUUGGGGCUUACUGUAGGCUUAUGGAUUCUACAACCUGUUUCAAAAGCUCUUUCCCUAACCUCUUGCACCCACAAACCUGCACAGCUCACCUGCUCAGGGCUUCACUUUCUAAGCCAUGCCCUCCCAUUCCCCCAACAAAUAUUUGUUCCCCAUUGCAGCCCCAGCUCCUGGACAACUGGCUGCACACAGUAAGAGCUUAGUUAUCAUAUGUGGAAAGACUGAGUGACCAAAUGGUUUUGCAUACUACAUACGUUUAUAGAACCAAGAAAUGGGUAGAACUUGAAAAAGUCUACAACUAAAUUAAGAACAGGAGAUGGCAGUCCUCUUCCAUUUGGCACACUGAGCAGGUUGUAGCUCCUAGAGGAGGAGGAGGGAAGUCUGGAGGCAGCAAGGAGUCCAAUUGCCAAAAGAGGACCCACCCACAUUCCAUCUUGCUAUAAAAGUCAAUGUUUGCAGAGCUCAGCAUGGCCCAUCAUUGCCCCAGAGCAGGUCUGCUAUAAGCGGCUACAUUAUUUUAACUUGUAGAUUUGCUAUGUAUCAAAAGGACAUUUCCAAAUAUUAUGGUUAAUUUUCAGUUAUGCCAAUUUUAGUUAAGUAUAUGGCUCAUGCCCACAUUUCUUGACAUAUGACAAAAUUGUAUUUAUGAAAAUGCUUCUAAAAUAAAGAAGAAUAUAUGCCACAAAGCUCAAAAAUUUCUUUCCCUUUCUUUACUAAGCAUUAAGGAAAACAGUAGCCAGCUACAAAACACUUUUCUAUAGGCUUUUCGUGGAUCAUCCCACUUAAGCCUCCCAAUGAAGUGAGUACUAUUAUGAAGUUCAAUUUACAAGAACAGAGUAAAAUAACCCCUCCAAAGCCACACUGCUAGUGAGUGGGAAAGUCAGGAUGCAACCUAGGCAGGUUGGCCCCCAAGCCCAGUUUCGUGAUGACUGAGCACCUGUCGGUUCUGCUUGCCCAAUAACUAUGGCAAAUGGAGUCAAACAAAGCAAGACCUUAUGUGAUGAAUGCUAUACAUUUACUCGUCGAAAACUUUAAAAAAAAAUCUCCUAUGCAACUAGAAUUCAAAAGUCCAGUAAGUAGGAAAAUACCAUUUUUUGACAUUAGUAUUAAUCAAAUAUUAGCAAAAACUGAUACAAAACUAACAGUUUUUCUUAAAAUGGCAGGAAAGUCAAGGGAGAACAGUGAGAAGAGACAAAAUGCUUUGGGAGAUUGCUUUGCAAAAGCAAGCAUUAAGAAAACUGCUUCAAAACUAACAAGUAAAUAAAGUUUUAUAAAUACAGCUACUCAUGAAAAGCAGUUUCCUUUGGAACCAUUUGACUGUACAAGUCAGUCAGAACAACUAACAUUAGCAAAUUUCAUCAAAUCCUAAUGUUUUGAGGAGGAAAUGUGACAAAAAAAAUUGAAAACGGGAUUCUGUAAAUAUUUGAGAGGCUCUAAUCAGAAGGAAGAGGAAUUCCCUAAUCAGGCAUCUAAUGAAUGUGUCCUGAUAAAGAGGGAUAAUAGAAUGGAAUGGAGGGAAUUUUAGGCUAACAGAUUACUUACAAAAACACUAACUCCCCACUCUUGCAGCUUCCUCAAAGACCAAAACAACAAUAAACAAGGACUUAGUAAAUCAAGGCUAGAAAUCUACUUUCUAUAAAUAUCCUAAACUCACAUUCAUAGUCCUUUAUACUUUUCAAAUGGCAUCAUCUUACUGAACCAAAUCUUUGAUUAAACAGUUCAAAGGUGAUAAACAAUCUUGUGUUAAGCAAAGUCAGACUUCUGUGCUCCCUCCAGCAAUAGGUGGGAAGGAACACAAAAGUCACCUUUGCCUCUUUUUAGGAGUUUUGUUGAUUUGGUUCCGUGUUUGGAAACUUUCUAAAACAGGCAUCAACCAUCAACCUUGCACCUCAGAGCAGCUUCCCAGCGUUUAAAGCACCAGCUGACCAACCCAGCAAGAGCCAAAGCCUUGUGCACGCCCCACACCAUCUUUAGGGGGUCACUCGUGACUGAAUCCUACCCUCAUAUCUCUCCUCCUUCUAUCCAACUCCCUCCCAUCCCAAAUGCAGUAUCUCAACCCUUCCAGGCUGAAAAGAGUGCCUUCCACAGUAACACUAACCUUAUCUGAUAAAUUAUUGGCUUUUUCCAUGAAGAAUGGAAUAAAGACUAUCCUUCCUCCCUCCUUCCUGCCUUUUCUCCUAGCCCUCAAACCAGGGCUCCCACUUUCCAGCCAAUAUAAAUAACUAUCCCUAGAACUCUAAUUCCACGUUAGGAAUUUGAGUCGGUAUGGGCAAGCAAUAGGGCAGCCGGCGGGGGAGGCGCUUGGGAAUGGACCUGGUGCUGUGGCCCCAUGGAGAGCACUCACUGUGUGGGCAGCUGCCCAGCCUUCCACCUUAGUACCUCUGGAUUCUGCUUUAGCACAGGCUGUGGAUGAUCUGUUCCUCUCUCUUGUUCUCCCAACCCACUCAGGUAUAGGCAUCCACAAUGAGCUGCAAAACUGCAAACACAUAAUAAAGUCUCCAAAACUGGCCAUGCAACCCCUACUCACUCCCUGGGUUUGAGUCAUCAAGGUGAAAAAGAGAAGUUUGGCCUUAAAGUCCCUCAGGGUUUUUCUACUUUCACAAUCAAGAUCCAAGAUUCAGCUCAAAUCCUGAAGCCACCCCAGGCAGAAUAAAGGGCCUGGAGAUUGUGCUAAAUUAGCACUUCAGGCAUUUUUUAUUGUCAUGUGGACUCCAAGGAGAGGUUAUUAAUAUCCAUCAGUAUCGUACAGAAAAAUGGAUGGGAACACUUUAUGAUCUCUCACAGAAAAUACUCAAGACGACAGAAACUGAAGUGGUAACACAUCUAAAGCACAAGUAGCAAUUCCCUUUUAUCUUUGGAAGUGAAUUCAUUCAAUGGAAUACACACUGAUUACUCUGUAAGAAAAAGUUCUAGCCAGCCUGGGAAUCUAACACAGAGUAUUACAGCCACGCCUUUGAUUUCUAUUCCCCUCCCCCACAUUUGGAGAUUUUAAAACAAAUGAAAGAAGGCAUUAUUUCAGCUUAAGGCAUAAGUGUAAGUCACAUAAGAACAAAGAAGGUUUUAUUAUCACAUUAAACAUCAAGGAGGAAAUGUGCUUACUGAUAACUAAUUUAGUGUCUUACACUAUUAUGUUAGCGUUUGCUUUUUGCAAGCUUCUAGGCCAACUGAUUUACAACAUAGUGUACAUAAUUAUUACAAAUUGUAAAUAACUGUAAAUAAUUGUAUCUAAGACUGGAGGUAAAAAUGGUCAGCUAGUGAAAAGGUCAUUAAGGGAAGGAAGAAAAAAAAAAGCCCUUGGGAAAAAAAUAGAACAAAGUACACAGAGAGAAAGGUACUCUUUGCGCCUCAGUGGUCUAUAGAGCAUUUGCCCUCCCUGCCUAUAAAGUGAUUUAAUAUUAACCAUAUUUCACUCUGGCAGAAGAGUUCGACCUCUUGAUAAAAACUCCUUUUUGAAAGCGUCCCCCGCUUCGCCCCCACCAAAAAAAUAAUAAUAAUCCGUAUACGCAGGAGAAUGUGAAACAGACUGCCACAGGCCAGUGUCCUGGGCUUUUUGCCUAAGAAGUUUGCUCUCAGCGAGGAGAGAGGAAAAUCCACACGCUAACAACAGAUUGUACAGUGAACAGCCCCCCGCUUGCUGGCACACUUUCCCAACUAGCAGUUCCAACAGCUGUGCCCUGAGCCCAUUCAAGAAUUCCAUCUCACAGGAAGUGUUUCAAAUAUAGUCAUUUGAUCUUUCAGCAUUUGCAAAUGCACCUGCUAAGCCAAAAGUCUGACAGCCAUAUCCCCGGCGCCCUCUUAUCCAUCUUCACCAGUGGUCACGCGGGCUAUUUCAGACUUGGACUAGCCGAGGCACAAAGUACACAGAGCCCCUGCAAACACUUCUGCUGUUGCAGGAGGGCAGGUCUGACGAGCCGGAGUCCUUCCUUUCUCCCCACACCAACUUCCCAGUCACUCUUUUCCCGGAGCAGGUCAAAAGCUGAGAAUGCCAGGGUGACCAGAAGCCAAGAAGCGAGCGCUGAUUUGAGCUGCUGCAAAAAUCUUCCCAGGGCCCCUUCUUGCGUGACACACCUCCUCUGACUCAGAGGUGGCGCUCGCUCGCCCGUCACGUUUAAAACAAGCUUAUCCUUUCUGCUCAAUCAUCCGGCAGCUGCUAGAAGCACGGGACUGAGGCGCGGGCACCCGCAGGCAGAGCGGCGUGGCUGGCGGACUCUCGGGAGCCCGCGCUGCGCGGCUGCAGCUGAGAAGCCCAAAGCCGCACGUCACCCGGCGGAGGUCCGCUUUCCAGGAACGAGGGUCAGCUGCAGCGCGAGCCCCGACGUUGCCCGAGCCUAGUGCCAGGGCGGCCCAGCUACUGAGCAUGCUCGGCCUCCCGGCCGCUCCGACAAGGGCCUUUCGCCCCGACUUCCUUUCCUGAUUUGAGAAACGGAGGAUGGACAAGUGGGUACAGGGUUAGACUUAGGGGAGGCAAAGUCUUGGACAUGGAGAUGACCUCCUCCGCACCCCUUCUCCCCCCACAGAAAAACAAAGCAUGAAGAAAGGACACCUUCCCGUGCACUUAGCAAAUAUUUUGAUUGAUAGGCAGAUAGAGAAGUUUGUAAGCCAUUAGUAGUAUUUAGUCUUUAACUCCCUCCCUGCACAAGUAAAUUGCUUCUGGGGUCAAGUACGUAGGGUAGGCAGGGAAAGGGUUUUAAGCCUAGCAGAGCAUUGUCCCUCAAGAAUUAGGUAUGAAACUGCCUGUGUUUGAAAGCCCAGGCAGUGAGCCACGAAUUAGUUGAUCUCUUACAAGCAAAAUCUCCCUAUAGACAAUGACUUUAAGUAAAAACAAGUAUUUUACAAAGUAAUUGUGCAAGUUUUGAAAUUUAAAUGUUAACUUACACAUUUUGAAAUUUAAAUCUUUCAGAUGUCAGACUCAGUGAAAGCAAAGAAUGGUCCUUAACUCACGACUCUAAAUCCAAAUCCUUUCUCGGGUUGAUAAAUGGCAAGUGCUCUGUAAAUGCUUGUGUGAGAAUCAACUAUGGACUUAGCAGAUAAUCUGUAAAUAGCACUUACAGAAAGGCUGAAGUUCUUGAAUUUGAUAGGGACCUAAAUUCUGAUUUUUGAUCUUCUCAGCUUUCAUUUUGGGCUGGCCAAGUAUUUGAAAAUAGGGAUACACUAAUUUUUUGUCACAUAAGUAUCCAGUGCAUAAGCAAAUUGGCUUUUAAAUAUGAUUUUCAUUUUUGUGUUGUUUUGUGUAUGUGGGUGUCUCUUCUACGUUACUCUUUGGCAAAUUGAGCCCCAUGCAGAGCAUAUUCUCUCUGAUACUAUCAAAACCAAGGACAUUGACUCUUCAUGGUUUGCAGAUAACAAAAUUAUUUCAUUUUGAAAACCUUCUAGCUAGUCAUUUUUGCUAAGUCUGUGAGGGGUGAAUCCAAGGGACUUUCACGACUGAAAUAGAGCCAUAGCCUGAAAGCUGGGCCUGUGAGCGUCUAUACAGAAAACAUGGGCGAGUUGGGAGCCAGGUGUUUCUUGAAUCCUUACCAGGUGGUGCCUGAGCCCACUGAUCCAGUCCUCUAGGCCAGGAAAUUGCUUUCUUUCCUUCUCUCCCCUGCCCCCCUUCCUUCCAUUCUCUGACAACCUUCUGUGCUCCCUUUAAGACUCAGGGGCUAGCAGUGUGCCUCUGGAAUCCAGAGCCCUUCCCGGCUCCCCUACUCUGUGCUUCUCCAGUGCAUGCUUUUAUCACCCCACUUUCUGGAUCCUCUUUAGCUAAAUUAUGCCCACCUACCAUCAGCUCUGAACUCCUUAAGAUAGAGACAAUACCAGCUGUUUGCAUCUAUAUAAUUGUAUACAUCUGCACAAUUACUGGUUUUCAUGUGUUUUCAGAUUAGAUUAAGAAACAGUAGGGAGUCCUUCUAAUUGUGGUGACCAAUUAGAAAAUUGUUGGAGUUAAUUUAGGAACAUUAUUAGAGGAAGUGAUUCCAGAAGGACAAGUAAUUUUUUCAAUAUAACCAAAUCAAAUAUUUCAUAACUUGAAAGGAAGAUGCAGACCUAUUUGUGCAGACCCAAUAAGUGCAGAUAACUAGGGUGGAGCUGUUUGGUGGUGUUUAAGCCCUGCUUCUCUAUCCCAAAUAGAAAUAGAAGCAGAAGCGGAGGCAAAUCUGCCCUUGCCAAGGGACCUUUGGAGCUACUCAUUUAUUUCACAACAGAGAUUCCUUACACCUUACAUCUCCCUCAUUAAUCUCUUAGAAUUUUUUGGCUGUUCGUUAUAUUGCAAUGAAUCUGGUUCUCAAAGGUUACUCAGGGUGUUCUAAUCAUCAAAGCCAAGAAAUUCUCAGUUUUGAUGACAAAAUCAUAGCUAAUAUUUCCCUGGCACCUUAUUCUCUGCAAGGCACAGCUACAUUCUUUACAAACAUCACAUUAUUUGUCAUACGAAUCAACUUUUAAUAGUAUUUAUCACAAUUUUACAUUUUGAAUUUGCAAUAUAUCAUAAUAUGUUUGCUCAUGUCAAAAGAAAGCAGGCACACAAACAAUAAUGGGUAAUGGAAUAAGGACAGAGAGUAUUAUCAUCUCUGCUGAUGAAACCAAGGCUUUGAGAGUCCAAGAUAAUAUAGCAAAUAGGCGGGACCAUGUGUGAAUUCCAUGCUGUUAAGUGCCAAAGAUCAUCAGGUCUUAACCAGUCUAUAUUACGGCCUUGCUCCCCAGGAGUACCUUGCCCAAUGAAAUAUGGCUAGUUGAAGCUGAAGGUGGGGGUCAAUUACAAGUCAACUUGAUGCCAAAGCCUAGGCUUUAUCUGCUUCACUGUCUCACUCCCCCUCUAUGAAACUCUUCCCUGUUUUCAACUCCCUGACAGUACACCUUUCUGAUUCUAUUCCUUCUUCUUUUUUUUAAAUUAAGGUUUACAUCUUGUCCAUUCAUCAAAUUGUCACUACUUUGACUAUGGCUUCUUGUGAUCGCUACAUUAGCUAUCCAACUUGUCUCACUGUUUUAACAGUUUACUUUCCAAUCCUUGUUUCAUACUGCCCCUAAAGUCUCUUACUAAAAUUCUUUUGCCAUUACAGUGAACAUGGUUGGCAGAGUUUGUCCCAACUUCCUCCCAAAGAUCCCCAGUUGUGAUCAUUUAUCCAUUCAACCCCCAAGGAGUCCAUUUGCCUAAGGAGAAGUUGACUGGUCUGACUGGUCUAAUGGUAAUGCCACACUAUUGGUAUUCAUUAGUUAAGGAAUGGGUGUGUGACCCAAUUUUAACUCAUGAAGACACCAAGCCAGUUUGCAACAGGCUUUAGGGAAAUUCUUCUUUUCUUGUAAGGAGACUUACGGAAAUACACUUAUGCUUUCUUUUUAAACAAGUAAGCAUGUAGCCCCGAAUGCUACCAGGGACCAUCUUUCCACCUUGAAAAGACUAGCCUUGUAAAGAAGCCAGCGUUUUACAAAGUGAAGAGCUGAGAUGGGAAAUCUGCACCCUUGGUGAAUAUCACUGAAUUGAUCUACCUACCCAAAUGCCUACCUUACCUCACCUCUUGGAAAAUGAGCCAAUAUAAUCUGUUUAAGAUUACUUUAAAUUGGUUUUUCCUUGCCAGUGAAAAGUCUCUUGUCUGAAAUAAGCUUUUUCUACUUUCCUAUUCAAAAUGCUAACAUGAUUAAGAAUGAACUAAAUUUCUUAGCAUAGCUUUUGAGAGCUUUUCCUGGCCCCUUUGUAUUUGUACCUUCGUCUCCCGUUAUAUUGUGCUAUGCGUUUACAUCCUGGCCAUGCUGGGCUACUUGUUCUAAAAAUACAAGUUACUUUCCCAUAGCCCAGACUGCUUUUGCCCCACAUUUUUCUCUGCCAAAACCCAACUCUUGCUUCAAGGUCCAGACUAAAGGAUACUUUCUCUGAAAUGGACUUUCAGAAUUAAUAUUUCUAUCUUCUAUAUUUUCAUAUGUGUUGCUUGUAUGUCUGUGGGUAAAUCUGAGUCCUCCAGGAGAAAAACUAAGAUGGGAUUAAACUUGCAACACCUUGAACAAAAUGUGGAGGGAGCUGGGGGAGGCUGGGGAGCCAUCAGACUAUGAUGAAGCCGACCCGAGUGAGGCAGAGGGAAAGGAAGGAAGCUGGAUGCAAUGCAGUUCUAAAGAAAGCUGAGAGAGGCCAUCGGUGGCUCCUCAAGCCAAAGUCUUCCAUCCGAGGAGUCCAGCUUCUCCCAAAAACGGUCUGGCUUAGUACUGCUGCCAGUCUCAGUGGGCUAGCUGGGAGCAGCCCAUAAGAAGUGUGGCUUCAGCGUAAAGCCCACGGUGACCGAGUUCAGCAGCUGGGCACUGGAGUCAGUUACAUUCCCUGCAGCUGGAGGGUUGGGAGGUGCUUUCUCAGGGAUGCCGUGCUCCUUACUUAUCACUUAUUUGGUCUUAUCCUAAAUUCUACCCGCCAUAUACACACAUCUCUUCCUUAUUGAAUUAUGAACCCCUGAAGGGCAGGAAUUGGAUUCACCCUUGCGUCCUACUAUAUGGUUCAUAUAGUAGGAUCCAAGUAGAGUGUUACUGUGUUAUGGAGCCAAAUACUAGAAUAUGUGACCUUAAAUUUCUGUAUUAUUAACUCUUUACAAAAGGAAUAGGGAUAAUGCCCCCCUAAAGUCCGUGAGAACUUGCUUCCAGAAGAUGUAAAAUACUAUUCCAUGAUUAAUGUUUUUAAAAAAGAAUUAAUAGUCUCACUCACCUGGGUACUAAAUUCCUGCAGGUCUGUGUGUCUCCACACAGAAGUUCUAUUCAUGAACAGUGAAGUUGGGCAUUGGCUAAUUAAUACCCUAUUUUUCACAAACUGAAUCCCCAAGUUCAGUGAUUAUCGAACUUCUGGGUUAAAUUCAUAAUGCACUUUGGUUCUUGACUGCGAAAAUAAUUUUUCUGCUAUAAUAUGUUCUGGACUACUUUGUAAGCAUUCAUUUUUAGGUUUUGUGACAGUGGACCUUUCAGGUACAUUUUUUAGAUAAAAAGAAGUUAAUAAUGAUUCCCUAAGAGGGAGAAAAGAGAUUACAAAAAUCUGUGGUUAUUCAAGAUAUAGUAUUAUGACGCUUAGAGGAUAAAUCUGUAAAAUGAGGAUUUUGGCAUAUCAUUAUAGUGCAUAUGAAUAGUGUUCUAUGUAUCACUGUUAAUUUAGGGUCUAUUUACACUUAAGGUAUAGUGAUAGUGCUUACAAGUCAGGGUUCAGUAAGAAGACAGCAAUCCCACAGUUAUUUGGAAAGAGAGAGCUUAAUAUAAAAAUUUUCUAUUUUCAGACCAAACUACUAAAAAGGAAUGAAGAGAACUCUAAUGAAUACCCCAAGGCUGAGAGGUAUCUAUGGAAGAGGGCCUCUCCAGGGCUGGGACUCAGCCCUUUUGGGGCUGGUUGCCGCCCACUGAAUGGUGAAGAAGGGUACCGGCUGCUGAGAACACAGGUGGUCCACCAUCAGCAAGCUGAGGCUAGUGGGCGUAAAAGUGGGGGCAAGCUGGAAGCCUGCUGCAGCAGUGCCAGUGGGCAGAGGCUAGUUGGCAGGAUAUUGUGUGGAGGUACCGAUGAGAUUUGCUGCGAGGCUGCCUGCAGGGGCUGCUUUGGUUGGGAAGCUAGACAAAUACUGGCUGGACUCACCAGAGAACUGCCAGGAAGUCACCUGUAAGAGUCCAUGAAUCCAUCCAUAAGGGAGUGGCACUGCACUUACUGAAGUGAAACUAGCUGGAGUGACUGCAGGACUCAUGCACCAGCUCCUGCCUGGAGAUGGGGAGAUGUCACGCAAUUGAGCAGGAUUCACCCGCAAAUAGCCUGAGAGGUCCUGGGCACUGACUGCCAGAAAGCCUGUUGGGCAUUUUUGCAACUCACCGCAAAGACUUCCAAAGGGGUGCUGUUGAAACUCACUGGAGGUGAGCUCCACUGAUGUCCUGCAUGCCAGCCGGGCACUGCAGGAACGAGAGUGCUGGACUGCACCCGGGAACCAGGAUGAGACAUCCCUACCUCCAGCAGUGUCCCUCCUGCGCCCUCUACUGACAAAGUUUAACAUAGCGCCAACUGGUAAGAAGUGUUUCAGAAUAACAAGCAGGCAAUGAAGGAUGGAUUUGUAGCUGAGAAGUCAUAGAUUCAUAACUGACUGGUACAGUGCUUUUAUUAAAAUCACUACUUUAUAUUGAAACUAUCUCUUUACUCAUUUGUCUCUUCUACCAGCAGCUGAUAUGUGUGUGUUUGAAAGACAUGAGGGAGACUCUGCUCCAUAAAGUCUUUGAGGACUCAGAUUCCUUCUUUCUUGUUGCUUGAACAUUCUUCAGGAUGUUUUCUUACCCACACAGUAGAAGCCAGCUCCCUGGCAAAAUUCAGCUGGUGCUGCUAUAGCAUUGGCUUAGGAAUCAGGGGAAGCACCAACAGCUUCUUUUAUCAGUGCAUUUAGUGGGGCACCUUUUUGUAAAUCAUCUGUGCAAUUUUUAUUCAAUUGAAUGGCAGAGGAAGGGCAUCUUUAUUUUCCCAGAGCAGUCACCUUUUGCAAUUUGAGGUAAGACUCUCUAUGCCCAUAUUGUCUUGAGCAGCACUUCCUGGUUCCAGCCCACUUAAAAGGGGAAAGAGAGAAGUAGAGGAGAAGUAAUUAUCUUACAAUUAAAUGAUGUUAUUGUUCUACUUCUAUUCAUUCCAUUGGCUGGAACAGAAUCACAUGUCCACAACUUUCUACAAGGUAACAUGGGAAAUGUAACCUCUAAUUGGAUGUUUUUGUUUUGUUUUGUUUUGUUUUGUUUAUUAAAAGGGAAGGAAGAAGAGAUACUGAAUGUUACCAGUCUCUACAACGUAAAGAUUAUUCUGAGAUCAUUAAAAUUUUUGCUUAGUUUUAAAUACAUCUUAUUUUAGAAACAUGUUGAAUAUUUAAAUUCUAUAAUAUUGGCUGAUCAGUAUUAACUAUAAAA